GCUGGGUGUGGUGGCGCAUGCCUGUAAUCCCAGCUACUCAGGAGGCUGAGGCGGGAGAAUUGCUUGAACCCGGGAGGCAGAGGCUGCAGUGAGCUGAGAUUGCGCCACUGCACUCCAGCCUGGGUGACAGAGCGAGACUCCAUCUCUA
Unclassified non-coding RNA from Papio anubis (olive baboon), 148 nucleotides. It matches the Rfam family "Metazoan signal recognition particle RNA". Rfam says of the family: The signal recognition particle (SRP) is a universally conserved ribonucleoprotein. It is involved in the co-translational targeting of proteins to membranes. The record is from Ensembl. Lineage: Eukaryota; Metazoa; Chordata; Mammalia; Primates; Cercopithecidae.